This 3385-nucleotide ribosomal RNA is filed under the name Triticum aestivum (bread wheat). RNAcentral describes it as "partial small subunit ribosomal RNA". The record is from RNAcentral. Lineage: Eukaryota; Viridiplantae; Streptophyta; Magnoliopsida; Poales; Poaceae.
CCUCCCCUCUUCCUGUUCACGCGAGGGAGAGCCGCCGCCGCCCCGUCCCCUUCCAAACUCCUCUCUUCCCUGCCUCCCCUCGCGCCGCCGGCCAUCCUCCCCGUCCGCCGCCGCCGGCCAUCCUCCCCGUCCGCCGCCGCCGGCCAUCCUCCCCGUCCGCCGCCGCCACUGACCAGCCACAGCUGCGCUACCAUCCCCUCCCCUUACCUCGAUUCAGAUCCUCUCCUCUGCUCUUCUCUUGUUCCUUCUCUCCUGACCCCCUCACUUGUUUGUUCGAUCUAGAGCAGCAGCCACCCUCCAUGGACGAGGACGACCACCACAGCAACGACGGCGCCCCUCACAUGGUCGAGCUCGACGGAAGAGUGCUCGCCAUGGCCGCGUUCGUCUGCUCCGGUGUGGUGCAGCCGAGGUUGGCCAACGACGAGGUCGUGUACCACCGCCUCGAUGGCUCCUAGCGCGGGGGAUGUAUUUCUAAUGUCCAGGUAAACCGGUUUACAAUGCAGAGGUCCCUUCACACUACAGGAAAGUGACAAUCAGUAAAAGUUAAGGUCAGACUUUGGAGAAGGGCGUUAGAGGAUUUGAGUAGAGGCUGGCGAGUGGUGUCCACAGAUUGUACAGCGACCAAGCGGCGUGAAGAAUCAAUGUGGAUCUAUCAUUACCAUAUGGACUAGGACAUUCAAAAGGCAGUGACUGUUGCCUCUGCUGUAUCGACGACCCUGAUCAUGUUGGACAGAUAAAUAAGAUAUUACUACUCCCUCCGUUCCUAAAUAUUUGUCUUUCUAGAGAUUUCAAAUGGCUACCACAUACGGAUGUAUAUAGACAUAUUUUAGAGUGUAGAUUCACUCAUUUUGCUCCGUAUGUAGUCACUUGUUGAAACCUCUAGAAAGACAAAUAUUUAGGAACGGAGGGAGUAGAUGUGAAGUUCUUUCCUCUACAUGGACGGGCGCGGCAAUCGCACGCAUUUGUGAUCUAGGAUAAAUGCUUUUGCUUUAUCAUAGGCCACUAAACAUGCUAAGCUUGUGUGGCUGGAACACACGCUUAGCGGGAGAAGCACGAGGCGCUGCACCUCUGACCCUGUAGUGCUUGGCUCCAAUUCAUCAGGGAAGACGCCGACAAGCAUCAAGCUGCCCUUGGUGCUUCCUCGUCAUCAAGGAGGAGGACGUCAGGAAGUGCCGUCCUCAAGGUACGUCCUCGCGGCUUUGACCUGCCUCUUUCAUGCACCUUAUCCUUCCCUAUUUCUCUUGCUGUCGCCAUGUUCGUGCCGCCCUAACCUAGGUUGCCAUCGCUCCUCGGCGCUCUGCGGGCACAGCCGUCACCACACCACAGAGAAGGACGAGGAUGUGAUGCUGCUCCUUCUUGUGGUGUAUGCGUCGGCGUGGCUUGCGGUAAUGAGGCAUAUCCUCGUGGGCAAUGCUAUUUGAAGAUCAUUCAUGUGAUUUAAAAGAGAAGAUGUCCAGAAUGUCUACGCUAUUUGAAGACCAUUCAUGUGAUUUAAAAGAGAAGAUGUCCAGAAUGUCUAAGGAGGUUGAAGAUGACGAUCAAAAGAUUGAUAAGUGACUGCCAAGAUGCCAAUAAUGCUUGCCCCGUGCCAUUAGACCGGCACCCUCGCGCCAAGGCGUGAUUCCGAUCUAGUUAUUAUUUAUUCACAGCGAUCUGUGAGAAUCUCCAGUCCACCGAAACCUUCCUUUUUCGGAGUAUUUCUGAAGAAAAAGCAUAGGGCACUGUAUUUGACAGCAGAUUCGGUGCGAAAAGCCUCAUCACUAGCAGCGGAUUAGGAAUCCGGGCCCCUUCUCCUCCUUUGGACCGCUUUCUCCCCAUCCACACCACUACUGGAAUCGCUCCUCCCUUUUCUUCUUCCCCCUUUUCCGCCCCCCUUUUCCCAGCUCCUUGCACAGCCAACAAGUCCGGAUCGAUCAGCCCGAGCCCCCUGCGACUCCGCCACCGCGCCGUCUCCCCAACCCCCGCCUCAGUCCCGCCCCAAACCCCGCCUCUCGCGCCCGUCGCCGGUCCCGCUCUUGCUCGCCGCCGGGACGCCGCGCUCCUGCUAUCUACCCCCCACCCCGUCCCAGCCCCUGCCCGUUGGGUUUUGAGGGAGAGCGGAAGGGGCCGAGGAAGGGAUUAGGGCUGGAGCAGGGAGCGCGCAGGCGGCGACAUGUCGGGGGAGGACGUCCGCAAGGUCUCUCGCCAGGACAUACAGCUCGUCCAGAAUCUCAUCGAGCGCUGUCUCCAGCUGUAUAUGAACCAGAAAGAAGUGAUUGAUACCCUCUCCCUUGAGGCCAAGAUAGAACCGAGCUUUACUGAACUUGUUUGGCAAAAGCUUGAGGAAGAGAACCGUGAGUUUUUUAAGGCAUACUAUUUGAGGCUGAUGCUUAAGAAUCAAAUAACGGCCUUCAACAAGCUUCUUGAGGAUCAGUUCCAGCUUAUGAACAAAGACUAUUCUUCGGGAAUCCCUUCUAUGCCUCUCACUAAUGGCUCCAACUCCACAACAUUGAAGCAAAACUCGUGCUUUUUACCAGAGUCUGGUCCCAUAUCUGCUAUGCCAAAUGGUGCGAUGCGCAACGGAAGUUCAGGUGGUUUAAUAAAUGGAACAUCAUCUGGUGAUCAGUCAAUUUAUGGUGGCAAAGACAUUCACGGUCCUCAUAGUGGUAUGGAUGCUUCAACCAGCGUGCUACCAGCCCAGAAUGCAUCUGCUUUGCUGUAUGGUGCAGAUAAUAAUGGUACAACAAUAAAGACAGAGUCAAGCUAUUCGAGCAACGCUGAUUUUGCUUUCUGUGGGAAUGCUUUCCUUGAAUCAUGCCAAUCAAUUGGCGAUGCCUCGGCUGGUUCUUUUAGCAGCUCAGAGUUGAACGGGCAACCACUGAAUGAUGCACUUUUGGAUAUGGAGUCAUCGUCAUUUGGCUUCUUGAGCCAGAUUCCCCAGAAUUUCAGUUUUUCAGACUUAACAGAGGGGUUCAACCAAAAUACAGAAGUAUUGGAGAAUUAUGGCAGGUCACCAUUUCUCUCAUCUGAGCCAAAUAACUUCUCAGAUUCUACAGGUGGAGAACAUACAGGCUGAGCAGCUACCCGCCAUUUUGUACAUAUUCAUGGAGAACUUGAGCAACUUUCAUGCUAGCCUUUUCCCUUGUCAGUUCCGCUGUCUUGUAAUGUAGAGUAUGGGAUGAGUUGUAACUUGAUCAAAAGAUGCAGCAGAUCUGGCCCCCGGUCGCUUGCCGAAGGUAUUGUAGUUGUGCCCUGCCUUGUACAUUGGUGUUGUGCUGUAAGAUCAGCAUUAGCAGCUGUGAUGUUAAAUUUGCUGGGUUAAUGGGUUAUGUUCUUGUCUGGCAUGUACAACAGAAGUUUAUUAAUUUCAAGUGAAUGCUGAAGUGAGAGUUUGAUUUGUGAUGGC